Molecule: long non-coding RNA, 2596 nt
Organism: Gallus gallus (chicken)
Lineage: Eukaryota; Metazoa; Chordata; Aves; Galliformes; Phasianidae
Exons: 2
Source: RefSeq, a predicted model, not a curated record
GCCAGCGGGCGGGGCGCCCCCUUGCGGAACGUCGCCGCCGGCCGUUAACGCCGCGCCGCGUCACGUCCCGCGUGGCCGCCCGCCGCACCUCCGCCGGUGGUGAAAACGCUUAAAGAAACUGUGGCAGCUUUGCACGGAAAGGGUCCGCGUCUCGAAACGUGCCGCGGAAACAGAAAUGUCUGAGUGACGCAGUAACCGAGCGGCGCCACCCGCGGUCGGCUGCGUCCGGCGGAGCGACGGAGGGAGCGGACGAAAGCAGAUUUCCAACGGACUGUUCUCAAAGGGAGGGACUGACGGAGGUUUGCUGGGCUGCACUCGGACCGAUGAUUAAUUAGAACGAGGAACAGCACUCCAGCGGGAAUAGGGGAAAGACCUGUAUGUAAAAGGGGACUGCAAACUACGUAGGCCGUAUGUAAAACCACCGCCACUAAAUUGCCUUUUAGUUUUCAGUAGUUCCAUUGAAGAGUGCCAGCAUAUCCACAUCGCUGCUUUUUAAGUUACCUUCCACGUAAGCACCAGACCUCUGUGCUGCGGUUCACCUGCCAGAUAAAUGGGUUGUGAGCCAGGUGUGAGCACGACCGCACUCGUUUUGAAUCACCCAUGGUGCUGUUUUUAUGCUGCCCUUUGGCUUUUUGCUGGCUGCGGGAAGGCCGGUGAUACCUGAUCUGGGUGAGGUAUGCUGGGACAAGUUCACCUCUUCCAUAAACUCUAAAGCAAAUUUGAAUCAGCAGAGCGUGUACCGGGUCAGUGCGUUGCAUCACGUUUCCCCGGCCCCUUGAUCCGGUGUUUGGUGUCCCAAAAGGAAUGCAACAUCUCCAGCCAGGAGAUACGUAGCACAAACAGAUGAGGGCGCUGCACCACCCAGCUGCUCCCCAGCGCUGCCCUACCCGGGCUGCUGCCCCUCCAGGGUCCAGCAGAGUGCAUGGCUGCUCCCUCAGACUGACCGUGCUGAGCCGGUGAUGAUCUGCAGCUGAGUGCUCAGUUAGCACUGCCCGCAUGGAGCAAAGCAGGAUGAGGGCUGCUGCCACGGGGUACUGAGCUGCGAGGUGGGAGGAGAGCCCUGUGAGGACGGUCAUAGCCACACUGCUGCACACAGGAGAUCUGCAGCCACAUCAGUCUGCGUGUGCCGGUGCUGCUGUGCUGUUACUGAGACAAACUCACCUUGCACAGAUCUGACGUGCCUGUUAAAUGAUGCUUACCAAACCCAACAGAAACGUUCGUGUCACAACAAACAAUUAGCUUGUUGUGGCAGCACACGAGCAAGCAUUCUCAGCUACUCAUUUAUAACUUCAAAAAGCAUCAUCCUAGGAGGAUGAGAAAACACCGUGUGGCUUUCAGAGGGAGCUGGUUUAGGUUCUGAAAGAUGUGUAUCUGAAAGUCUGUAUGCAAAUAGAAGCGCAGUGUUAGGACUGGGUGUUCUCUGCACACCUGUUGGCAUCAGGACUAUUUCUGCAGCUUUAAGUUACUUAUAUCUGAGAGUAAAGGGUUAUAGAAGAUACGUCCAGCAGUGAAUUGUCCUUUUAGGUUCUGCAAACCAACCUCCAGAGUGAGCUCUCUCUGUGACUUCUGUGCAAGAGAAGAGGAACUUGCCUCACCUGUGAGCCCACAGGGCCAGUCCUGCUGGAAUAACCACAUGGCUCUGCGAUGUCGCAGUUUCACAGCUCGGUGUCAUUGGUGCUGUUUUUGAGGUAACACAGCUGCUGUGAGCAGGCACUGGUUAGUGCUAAGCUUUAAUUAAGAAUGGCGUUCUCAUUAGUGCGCUAAAGGAUAACAACAGAACAACAACAACAAAAACCAUCCAACGAAUGAACUCCCUGCUGCCCGCCCCACUGGCUCUGUCCCAGGGCAGCAGUGUCAGCUGAGGAGCAAAUCCGGGCUUUUUUCUUAUCUUUGUCACUGUAAAUAGAAGGAGCUUUGUCAGAAACAGAGCAGAGCUAAUCAGAACACAUCCUCCUACUUUAAUAAAUAUCCUGUUUCAUUCUGCUGAGUCCAAGGCUGAAAAAUGGUGAUUUGGGCAUUGUGUGAUGAAUGCAUGAGACAUGUGCUGGACUGAUGGCCCAGCUGGGAGCUGUGAAUCCUCCAAUUCCUCCCAGGACAAUACAGGAUGACUAUGGGAUGAAGCAGCAGAACUCUCCUGUUUUAUGCCUUGCCCACAUCCCUAGCUGAAUCACUGACCCUUCUGCUGAGGCAGAUAAGGAGGAGCACUGUGGUGACAUUUGUACCCGUGCCUGGAAACUCGAGAAAAGCAGCAAAUUCAUUCAUAUGGUAUCCCAGGGCUAUUACCUACCGGUUUUGAUACAGAGCAGUCCCCCAGAGGUGGAAGCUGGUAAAGCUCCCAGGAAUCCGUUAACAUCUGCCUGCUCCCCUGUGAGCUGCCAGGUUACUUUUCCGUGAAAAAGAAAAAUCCUUCAGAGAUGUGGGACAAUUCACUAAAGAUAAGGAGCCACCCGACCCCUGCACCCCAUCAUCACCAUGAGUUGCCCUGCAGCCAUCACUGCGGCUGAAUGGGGCCUGGAGUCAGGGAGAAUGGGCCCCAGAAGGACGCAGGAGGGGUUGUUUAUUACCUUCAGUGCUAAUAAAUAUUACAGAGAGCUGU